AAAUCCAGUAAUAAGAGGUGGUAUAUGUGUUCAUUGCUUUGUGUUUGACAUGGAAGAAAGAGAGAUAGAUGUUUGAUCGUCUUUGUUCAAUAGACACGCACACUACACGAUCACUCAAACUUUCGGUUUUCUCUCGCUUUCCUCUCCUUUCUCCUCCACCCUUCAUUGUUGGAAAUAUUAUGGAACGCUUUGUUUUAUUCAAUCUUUAUUGCUUCGUCCUUUGUGUGAUUGAAUGACUUUCUUUUCUUGACGCACUCCUUUUUUUUUGGUCUCUUCCUGGCCCCCGCGCACUGCGCCGCGCCCCGCUCGUCGAUGUUGGGAUUAUCUCCCAAUCAAGCUGACGACCGAUCGCAAAUACAUCAAUUUCCUCCCAUAUUUUCUCCCGUUGCUUAAUUUUUCUGAUAACAUCACUUAGAACUCUUUGAUCUCUAUCUCUAUGGCUCACUCUCCGUCGUCUUCGAAUGAGGUGUUGGGGGCUGCGGCUGGUUGGUACGUACUGUAUGUAUAUGGACAGUACAUGGACAUAAAUGUAUAGUACUGUACAAUGAGCUUUGUUGGCACAGGGAAAAAGGGAUUUAGAAAAGUGGAGAAAGCAGCUGAAGAAAGAAUGAAAGAGGAGAUACCUAGAUUGAUUGAUUGAUUGAUUGAUUGAGUUGCGUAGGGACACGGGGGCGAGUAAUUGUCUCUUUACUAUCUUUUCUCUCUUAUUUGUGCCUUUUUCUUCCUGGGGGGGGGGGAUUUCCUUUGGAUUUCCUUUGUUUCCCAUCUGUCCCUGAAUAUGAUUGUUAAUGGAGG
This 795-nucleotide small RNA is filed under the name Histoplasma ohiense. Its description in RNAcentral is "hypothetical lncRNA". Lineage: Eukaryota; Fungi; Ascomycota; Eurotiomycetes; Onygenales; Ajellomycetaceae. The record is from RNAcentral.